RNAcentral lists this small RNA (66 nucleotides) under bovine gut metagenome. Its description in RNAcentral is "RAGATH-18 RNA". It matches the Rfam family "RAGATH-18 RNA". Rfam says of the family: Actinobacteria, Firmicutes, Fusobacteria, Thermotogae (1 example). The record is from RNAcentral.
CCUUUGGAGUGUCAUAUCAAACAUGAGUAGAGUUUUUUAUCGAAAGUGGACACGGUGAACAAGGAA